GAUGAAGAACGUAGCGAAAUGCGAUAAGUAAUGUGAAUUGCAGAAUUCAGUGAAUCAUCGAAUCUUUGAACGCACAUUGCGCCCGCCAGUAUUCUGGCGGGCAUGCCUGUUCGAGCGUCAUUUCAACCAUCAAGCCCCAGGCUUGUGUUGGGGACCUGCGGCUGCCGCAGGCCCUGAAAACCAGUGGCGGGCUCGCUGUCACACCGGGCGUAGUAGAUUUUAUCUCGCUCAGGGCGUGCUGCGGGUUCCGGCCGUUAAAAAGCCUUUUUUACCCAAGCUUGACCUCGGAUCAGGUAGGAAGACCCGCUGAACUUAAGCAUAUCAAUAAGCGGAGGA
RNAcentral lists this unclassified non-coding RNA (336 nucleotides) under soil metagenome. RNAcentral describes it as "partial contains 5.8S ribosomal RNA, internal transcribed spacer 2, and large subunit ribosomal RNA". The stretch from base 1 to 120 matches the Rfam family "5.8S ribosomal RNA", at positions 35 to 154 of the family's 154-position model. The record is from RNAcentral.